This 487-nucleotide ribosomal RNA is filed under the name uncultured Bacillota bacterium. RNAcentral's name for it is "bacterial SSU rRNA". It matches the Rfam family "Bacterial small subunit ribosomal RNA", at positions 8 to 522 of the family's 1533-position model. The record is from RNAcentral. Lineage: Bacteria; Bacillati; Bacillota.
AGAGUUUGAUCAUGGCUCAGGAUGAACGCUGGCGGCGUGCCUAACACAUGCAAGUCGAGCGAUUCUCUUCGGAGAAGAGCGGCGGACGGGUGAGUAACGCGUGGGUAACCUGCCCUGUACACACGGAUAACAUACCGAAAGGUAUGCUAAUACGGGAUAAUAUAUGAAAGUCGUAUGGCUUUUGUAUCAAAGCUUUUGCGGUACAGGAUGGACCCGCGUCUGAUUAGCUAGUUGGUGAGGUAAUAGCUCACCAAGGCGACGAUCAGUAGCCGACCUGAGAGGGUGAUCGGCCACACUGGAACUGAGACACGGUCCAGACUCCUACGGGAGGCAGCAGUGGGGAAUAUUGCACAAUGGGCGAAAGCCUGAUGCAGCAACGCCGCGUGAGCGAUGAAGGCCUUCGGGUCGUAAAGCUCUGUCCUCAAGGAAGAUAAUGACGGUACUUGAGGAGGAAGCCCCGGCUAACUACGUGCCAGCAGCCGCGGUA